UAUCUCUGUAGAGUCUGCAUAUCAAUAAGCGGAGGAAAAGAAACUAACUAGGAUUCCCUUAGUAACGGCGAGUGAAGCGGGAAGAGCUCAAAUUUGAAAUCUUCAAGGUUUUACCUUGACGAAUUGUAGUUUAAAGAAGUGUUUUCUGUUGGUGUUUUGGUAAAAGUUCUUUGGAAUAGGACAUCAUAGAGGGUGAGAAUCCCGUAUUUGACCAUUACUUCCAGCGUUGUGAUACACUUUCAAAGAGUCGGAUUGUUUGUGGAAUGCAGUCCAAAAUGGGUGGUAAAUUUCAUCUAAAGCUAAAUAUUGGCGAGAGACCGAUAGCGAACAAGUACCGUGAGGGAAAGAUGAAAAGAACUUUGAAAAGAGAGUUAAACAGUACGUGAAAUUGUCAAAAGGGAAGCGUUUGACACCAGUGUUGUUUUCUCGAAAAUCAAUUAAAAAAAGCUUGGAUUUUGUAUUGUUAAGACCUUUAUCAGCUUACUGCUACUCUUUUCAUGUCUUUUUUAAUGCACUUUUCGUUUAACAAGUCAACAUCAAUUUCUUUUGUUGUAAAAGAGGUCAUUGGAAGGUGGCUUUCACUUUCGGAUGAAAGUGUUUAUAGCCUUUGGCCUCUGCAAUCGGAGAGAUUGAGGUCUGCAGCGUAGAUCCUUCGGGGUUAGAUACAGUUAGAUGCUAAGUUAUAGCCUUUUCUAUAGACAACUUGUUGACUAUAAUCAGUCAUGUAGCUUACUCGCUUAUGGCUAUUUUACCUACGCUUAGGAUGUUGAAGUCAUCGUAUCGCGC
This 786-nucleotide ribosomal RNA is filed under the name uncultured Neocallimastigales. RNAcentral's name for it is "partial large subunit ribosomal RNA". It matches the Rfam family "Eukaryotic large subunit ribosomal RNA", at positions 24 to 645 of the family's 3401-position model. The record is from RNAcentral. Lineage: Eukaryota; Fungi; Neocallimastigomycota; Neocallimastigomycetes; Neocallimastigales.